UGCAAGUCGAACGGCAGCGGGGGUGCUUGCACCUGCCGGCGAGUGGCGAACGGGUGAGUAAUGCAUCGGAACGUACCCAGUCGUGGGGGAUAACGCAGCGAAAGCUGUGCUAAUACCGCAUACGUCCUGAGGGAGAAAGCAGGGGAUCUUAGGACCUUGUGCGAUUGGAGCGGCCGAUGUCAGAUUAGCUAGUUGGUGAGGUAAAGGCUCACCAAGGCGACGAUCUGUAGCUGGUCUGAGAGGAUGAUCAGCCACACUGGAACUGAGACACGGUCCAGACUCCUACGGGAGGCAGCAGUGGGGAAUUUUGGACAAUGGGGGCAACCCUGAUCCAGCCAUGCCGCGUGAGUGAAGAAGGCCUUCGGGUUGUAAAGCUCUUUCGGCCGGGAAGAAAUCGCCAUCUCUAACAUAGGUGGUGGAUGACGGUACCGGAAUAAGAAGCACCGGCUAACUACGUGCCAGCAGCCGCGGUAAUACGUAGGGUGCGAGCGUUAAUCGGAAUUACUGGGCGUAAAGCGUGCGCAGGCGGUUUUGUAAGACAGGCGUGAAAUCCCCGGGCUCAACCUGGGAACUGCGCUUGUGACUGCAAGACUAGAGUACGGCAGAGGGGGGUGGAAUUCC
RNAcentral lists this ribosomal RNA (621 nucleotides) under uncultured Azovibrio sp. RNAcentral's name for it is "bacterial SSU rRNA". It matches the Rfam family "Bacterial small subunit ribosomal RNA", at positions 56 to 670 of the family's 1533-position model. Lineage: Bacteria; Pseudomonadati; Pseudomonadota; Betaproteobacteria; Rhodocyclales; Rhodocyclaceae. The record is from RNAcentral.